GUAGGUAUAGCUCAGUGGUAGAGUGCAUGCUUAGCAUGUGCAAGGUCCAGGGUUCAAUCCCCAGUACCUCCA
RNAcentral lists this transfer RNA (72 nucleotides) under Camelus bactrianus (Bactrian camel). It matches the Rfam family "tRNA". From Rfam's summary of the family: Transfer RNA (tRNA) molecules are approximately 80 nucleotides in length. Their secondary structure includes four short double-helical elements and three loops (D, anti-codon, and T loops). Further hydrogen bonds mediate the characteristic L-shaped molecular structure. tRNAs have two regions of fundamental functional importance: the anti-codon, which is responsible for specific mRNA codon recognition, and the 3' end, to which the tRNAs corresponding amino acid is attached (by aminoacyl-tRNA synthetases). tRNAs cope with the degeneracy of the genetic code in two manners: having more than one tRNA (with a specific anti-codon) for a particular amino acid; and 'wobble' base-pairing, i.e. permitting non-standard base-pairing at the 3rd anti-codon position. RNAcentral also lists the same sequence under 2 other names. The record is from Rfam by way of RNAcentral. Lineage: Eukaryota; Metazoa; Chordata; Mammalia; Artiodactyla; Camelidae.